CCUACGGGAGGCAGCAGUAGGGAAUAUUGCUCAAUGGGGGAAACCCUGAAGCAGCAACGCCGCGUGGAGGAUGAAGGUUUUCGGAUUGUAAACUCCUUUUGUUAGAGAAGAUAAUGACGGUAUCUAACGAAUAAGCACCGGCUAACUCCGUGCCAGCAGCCGCGGUAAUACGGAGGGGGCAAGCGUUACUCGGAAUCACUGGGCGUAAAGGGCGUGUAGGCGGGAUAGCAAGUCAGAUGUGAAAUCCUAUGGCUUAACCAUAGAACUGCAUUUGAAACUGUUAUUCUAGAGUAUGGGAGAGGUAGGUGGAAUUCUUGGUGUAGGGGUGAAAUCCGUAGAGAUCAAGAGGAAUACUCAUUGCGAAGGCGACCUGCUAGAACAUAACUGACGCUGAUGCGCGAAAGCGUGGGGAGCAAACAGGAUUAGAUACCCUAGUAGUC
This 440-nucleotide ribosomal RNA is filed under the name uncultured bacterium. Its description in RNAcentral is "partial 16S ribosomal RNA". It matches the Rfam family "Bacterial small subunit ribosomal RNA", at positions 338 to 795 of the family's 1533-position model. The record is from RNAcentral.